Mus musculus (house mouse) is the source of this 590-nucleotide long non-coding RNA. RefSeq annotates it as predicted gene, 35593. The transcript is spliced from 4 exons. The record is from RefSeq and is a predicted model, not a curated record. Lineage: Eukaryota; Metazoa; Chordata; Mammalia; Rodentia; Muridae.
UCUUGGAUCAAAGUCCAACUGCAGGAAGGAACAUGUCUAUACCAAAAGCCAAGCAAAUGGUUGGAAAUAAAAGUGGUUCUGAGGAUGGGGCCUGUAGCUGAUGGUACGUGGACCAUCUUGUCACCGCACCAAGCCUCCAUCUCCACAGACUACACCGUCCUUGUCAAAUGGCCAAGUUUGGGAGGUGGAGCAUCUUUUCCAUAUCUACUGCUACUUUGAGUGUCUUCUUAUUUUCAGGCAAUGACCCUGGCAGCUCAUACAUACAGGCUAGCAUGACAUAUGCCAUGUUUUUUUGGGUGACUCUGGUUGGUGACAUGAACUGCUUCUGCCAAGCGAUCAAGAGGAGAAACUGUUGAAAACCCUUGCUGUGUGUGAGAUUUGGUCUGCUUUUCUCUGGAAUCUUGGAAGCCCUGUCUGUGUGGAAACACAUCCCAGGAAGCAGAGACAACUGGGUGUAGCAAGAAUGUAAAUUAGAGCAAGAUGCAUCAAAGAAAACAUAUCUUCAGACUCGUGUGGGUUUCUUUUUAAUUGGAAUUUAUAAUUGCACCUAAUUAUAGGACAUAUUUUACAUGUUCCCUUUGAGAGGCUGA